AGCGCUGUGUACAGCUUUAAAUGCAGCAGGGAGCAUACAGAGGAGUUGAUAAAACUCCGUGGGCAAAAUGACCACCUCUUUACCGGGGCCAAAAACACUGCCACAGUCUGAUGGAGAACAAUCCUGCAAAAAACGGGCCUGGAGGGUGAAGUUGAGCCACAAAAGGCCAAAAAAAAGUGGGACAACUUGAAAAAAAAAAUACAAAGG
This is a long non-coding RNA of Fundulus heteroclitus (mummichog), 207 nucleotides long. RefSeq lists it as uncharacterized. The transcript has 3 exons. Lineage: Eukaryota; Metazoa; Chordata; Actinopteri; Cyprinodontiformes; Fundulidae. The record is from RefSeq and is a predicted model, not a curated record.